GUUUCUCUUGCUCACGGGCCUCUCCAUUCCUUAGGGGAGCUGGAGAAGCAGCAGGGAACAAAGACACUCUCCUUCAAGCCCAGCGGAGCCCAGGGGGACCCCCAGUCAAAGCAAGGAUCGCCGACAGCCAAAAGGGAAGCUGCGCUCAGGGAGAGGCCGGCGGAGAGCACGGUGGAGGUAUUAAUCAAUGCCUCCCCAGCCCGACUCACCAUUUUACCAAUUUCAAGAGAUACAAUUAAAAGUUACUGCUAGCAUGGGUAAUGCCACUGUUCCAGAGCCUAAUUAAGCCACGAGCUCUUUCUCCCCUUUCCCCAGCCUGCUGCCCUCCGAGGCCGAGCUCCCAGACUAACACAGUGGAGACGGAGCUCACGACACCCUAGGGCCAUCCUUCCUGUGU
RNAcentral lists this small RNA (397 nucleotides) under Pongo abelii (Sumatran orangutan). RNAcentral's name for it is "retained intron". The record is from RNAcentral. Lineage: Eukaryota; Metazoa; Chordata; Mammalia; Primates; Hominidae.